This 439-nucleotide ribosomal RNA is filed under the name uncultured bacterium. Its description in RNAcentral is "bacterial SSU rRNA". It matches the Rfam family "Bacterial small subunit ribosomal RNA", at positions 340 to 773 of the family's 1533-position model. The record is from RNAcentral.
UACGGAAGGCAGCAGUGGGGAAUAUUGCACAAUGGGCGCAAGCCUGAUGCAGCCAUGCCGCGUGUAUGAAAAAGGCCUUCGGGUUGUAAAGUACUUUCAGUCGUGAGGAAGGUGUUAAGGUUAAUAACCUUAGCAAUUGACGUUAGCGACAGAAGAAGCACCGGCUAACUCCGUGCCAGCAGCCGCGGUAAUACGGAGGGUGCGAGCGUUAAUCGGAAUUACUGGGCGUAAAGGGCACGCAGGCGGUUAAUUAAGUUGGAUGUGAAAUCCCCGGGCUUAACCUAGGAAUGGCAUUCAAGACUGGUUAGCUAGAGUCUUGUAGAGGGGGUAGAAUUCCAUGUGUAGCGGUGAAAUGCGUAGAGAUGUGGAGGAAUACCGGUGGCGAAGGCGGCCCCUGGACAAAGACUGACGCUCAUGUGCGAAAGCGUGGGGAGCAAAC